UACAAUCCAAUGAGGAUUCUAAUUUCUUCACAUCUUUGGUAAUAAGUUUUGGCAAAGAUGUGGAAAAACUGGAAUCCUCAUUCGAUUGGUUAUAACCA
Molecule: microRNA precursor, 98 nt
Organism: Nomascus leucogenys (northern white-cheeked gibbon)
Lineage: Eukaryota; Metazoa; Chordata; Mammalia; Primates; Hylobatidae
Source: Ensembl